UUCAAUCCAAAGAGGUAAGGGGUCUGAACCUUAUUAAACAAUGAUAUGUUGAAAUUGGUGAAAUAUUGGGUGAACGAAUUUGGGGUUUUUAGUCGAAGGAAUUCGUAGAAAUUAUAUGCAAUGAUGUUAGGAUGGUGAAAUCGAAUAGGAGACUAACUGUACUAGAUGAUAUGAGUGAGUUUAUGUGAAAAUUGGACUGUUUAAGGAUGAAUUUGGAUAGAUCUCGUAGCAGGGAAAGCCAUUGCAGAUCUGGAAACUUGGUCUCUGGUCAUACGCGUAUGGCACUAGGCAAUACGCGUAUGAGACUGAUGGUACGCGUAUGGCACUAGGCAAUACGCGUAUGGAUGAGGAAGAUGAUGUUUUGAACGUGGG
RNAcentral lists this long non-coding RNA (372 nucleotides) under Lathyrus oleraceus (garden pea). RNAcentral's name for it is "Pisum sativum (pea) long non-coding RNA (PSAT_LNC022876)". The record is from RNAcentral. Lineage: Eukaryota; Viridiplantae; Streptophyta; Magnoliopsida; Fabales; Fabaceae.